RNAcentral lists this ribosomal RNA (253 nucleotides) under uncultured bacterium. RNAcentral describes it as "partial 16S ribosomal RNA". It matches the Rfam family "Bacterial small subunit ribosomal RNA", at positions 524 to 776 of the family's 1533-position model. The record is from RNAcentral.
UACAGGGGGGGGCAAGCGUUGUUCGGAAUUACUGGGCGUAAAGGGCUCGUAGGCGGCCAACUAAGUCCGACGUGAAAUCCCCAGCUUAACCUGGGAACUGCGUCGGAUACUGGAUGGCUUGAAUUCGGGAGAGGGAUGCAGAAUUCCAGGUGUAGCGGUGAAAUGCGUAGAUAUCUGGAGGAAUACCGGUGGCGAAGGCGGCAUCCUGGACCGACAUUGACGCUGAUGAGCGAAAGCUAGGGGAGCAAACGGG